This 89-nucleotide non-coding RNA is filed under the name Caulobacter vibrioides. RNAcentral describes it as "Glycine sequence". It matches the Rfam family "Glycine riboswitch aptamer". Rfam says of the family: This family represents the bacterial glycine riboswitch. Glycine riboswitches usually consist of two metabolite-binding aptamers domains with similar structures in tandem. Lineage: Bacteria; Pseudomonadati; Pseudomonadota; Alphaproteobacteria; Caulobacterales; Caulobacteraceae. The record is from RNAcentral.
CUGGCUCUUGCGGAAGAGAUCAGGUUCGACCCGACGCCGAAGGCGCAACCGCCCCGGAAACGCUCAGGCAAAAGGACCGCGGAGCACAA